RNAcentral lists this ribosomal RNA (585 nucleotides) under Triticum aestivum (bread wheat). Its description in RNAcentral is "partial small subunit ribosomal RNA". Lineage: Eukaryota; Viridiplantae; Streptophyta; Magnoliopsida; Poales; Poaceae. The record is from RNAcentral.
AUGGGAGGGUCGCGGCGCAAGUUCAAGCGAACCCGCACCAAGGUGCGCGUGGGGUUGCCGCGCAAGAAGCCGCGCGAGUUCAAGCCGGCCUUCGACCUGCCCGAGGCGCUCGCCGCCGCCGCCGCCGCAGAGGCCGGCGGCCACGUGCCGAGCUGGGACGCGGAAGGCAGCGUCGUGAAGAACUACUCCGCUUUCGGGGUCGUGGCCAACCCCAACCUGCUCGGCGCCCACUCCCGCGGCACGCGAGGCCUCGUCCAGAGCGCCUCGCUGCAGGCGCCCGACGUCGACGCCUUGCGCGCCCCCGUCGACGAGUUCGGCCCCGUCGACACCGGCAGUGAUCUCGAGUGCGAUGAUCUAAAAUCUGCACUUGGGAAGAAAAGGAGGGAUGGCAAAUCUGCACCUUUGGAGCCACUGACUAAAAUUCAACGACUAUGUAUUGGCAGAUUAAUAGAGAAGUAUGGCGACAACUACAAGGCCAUGUUCAUGGAUACCAAACUGAACUCAAUGCAGCACUCAGUGGGUACAUUGAAAAAGCUCUGUGAAAGAUACCAUGUUGGUGGCAAGACCAUCCUCUAUCCGAUGUAG